Molecule: long non-coding RNA, 1639 nt
Organism: Physella acuta
Lineage: Eukaryota; Metazoa; Mollusca; Gastropoda; Physidae
Source: RefSeq, a predicted model, not a curated record
CUGUGUGGAUCAGACGACUAACUCAAUGAUAAUUGCUCCGUCUCUAAGCAGUUUGAAUCUAUAAAUAGAAUAACAAAAGGAAGGAAACGAAAUUUUAAACUGAUUUCCGCCAUUAAAAAAAUAACAUGAAACCUACAGUUCACGACACAUCGCAUAGGAAUUUAAAAUAAAUAUUAGGCCUAUAGGUUUAAUACAUAUUGCUUAGAAUAUAGAAAUUUAGAUCUAGUGUUCUGGUUAGUAGUUAUUUCAUGUUUAUUAGAAUAUAGUCUAGAAUCUAAUCAUACGGCUGCAUAAAAAGAAAGUUUGAAGGAAAUAGAAUAGGAAUCUAGAGAAGCGGAGUGUUUUCCGCACUCGAGAGGAAAGAGGUUGCAGGGAACUUAGAGACUAAUCUUUGCCAACAUACUGGAUUUCUGGUGAUGACAAUAGCAGCAGAUAGUAUGCGGCUCAGUUAAUACUAAAAACAAUUGAUUUUAGUAAUUAGUGGACUAUGAGUGUGUGUUUGGCCAUCCAGAUUUCAUAACUACAAAAGAUGUUCAAUUACAAGGGAUAUUGAUCAGUCUCCGUGGACUAUACACUGUGCCUAGUUUCAUCCUCAGAGACUGAUGUGUAAGCUUAAAGUAAAGACAUCAAAUCAAAGUAUCAGCCAUCAAGAGGAAAAACAUUCAAAAUCAUAUUGUGAUACACAAGUCAAGCAAGUCUGACCAGCAUUUUGAUACAGGCCAAGAAAAAGCUGGAUACUUGAUUGGAAGGGUCGCACAAAAAACAUGGGUUAUCACUAGGGAAACAAGCUCGCAAUACAGUUCACUGUUAGGACAGCAAGCCAAAUACUUCUAAACUUAUUUGAAUCAUUUUUGCUGUUUAUUAUAAUUCAUCCAAUUGUCUUAUUAAAUAUAUAAAUUUAUAUAUAUACACAAUUCCUAAUAUAGAAUUUCUAAAAAUGUUUUAUUAUAAUAUUUAAAAUGAAACAAACAUGUUCCCAGAACACAGCCACAUAAUGUCAACAUGUUCCCAGAACACAGUCACAUAAUGUCAACAUGUUCCCAGAACACACAAAAUGGCAACAUGUUCCCAGAACACACAAAAUGGCAACAUGUGCCGAGAACACAAAAAAUGACAACAUGUGCCGAGAACAAUGCCCCUUACAGAUGACAUGUUCCCAGAACACAGCCCGUAGUUGGUCUGCCAUAAAAAGUUAACAAUACUUUACUUUUUCCUUAACAAUUUUACAAGCAGGUAAUAAAGCCAUACAUCUUUACUGUGGAUAUAGCCAAUAAAUAGGCUAACCUUCACUAUAUGCAAUUUGUAGUUUUCAAUGCCUGUCCCAUGCAUAUUAUUUAGCCUAUUGUUUUGGGUCUUGCUUCAUUUACUCAAUUAAUUAUAUAGGCAUGAGAAUUUUCAUUUUAAUCUGCAAAAGUUACAUUCUGUACAUUAUUAUUUUCAAACUACAUCAUAUAUUUUUCUCUUCUCUGAUAAAAAAUAUUCCUCAUAUUGUUUGUGUCAAGUAUUUUAUUUUUAUCUAUGCAAUGCUAUAUUCUUAUUUUAUAAUAAUUACUUUUAUACAAAUUCUUUUGAAAACUGUUCUUUAUUGAUUUGUAUCAUUUUCUUUAUUUCUGAAAAAUAAAACUUUGUUUGGGAAUCC